UGCAAGUCGAGGGGCAUCACGAGGUAGCAAUACUUUGGUGGCGACCGGCGCACGGGUGCGUAACGCGUAUGUAACCUACCUAUAACAGGGGCAUAACACUGAGAAAUUGGUACUAAUUCCCCAUAAUAUUCGGAGAGGCAUCUCUCCGGGUUGAAAACUCCGGUGGUUAUAGAUGGACAUGCGUUGUAUUAGCUAGUUGGUGAGGUAACGGCUCACCAAGGCAACGAUACAUAGGGGGACUGAGAGGUUAACCCCCCACACUGGUACUGAGACACGGACCAGACUCCUACGGGAGGCAGCAGUGAGGAAUAUUGGUCAAUGGACGCAAGUCUGAACCAGCCAUGCCGCGUGCAGGAAGACGGCUCUAUGAGUUGUAAACUGCUUUUGUACGAGGGUAAACUCACCUACGUGUAGGUGACUGAAAGUAUCGUACGAAUAAGGAUCGGCUAACUCCGUGCCAGCAGCCGCGGUAAUACGGAGGAUUCAAGCGUUAUCCGGAUUUAUUGGGUUUAAAGGGUGCGUAGGCGGUUUGAUAAGUUAGAGGUGAAAUCCCGGGGCUUAACUCCGGAACUGCCUCUAAUACUGUUAGACUAGAGAGUAGUUGCGGUAGGCGGAAUGUAUGGUGUAGCGGUGAAAUGCUUAGAGAUCAUACAGAACACCGAUUGCGAAGGCAGCUUACCAAACUAUAUCUGACGUUGAGGCACGAAAGCGUGGGG
This 716-nucleotide ribosomal RNA is filed under the name uncultured bacterium. Its description in RNAcentral is "bacterial SSU rRNA". It matches the Rfam family "Bacterial small subunit ribosomal RNA", at positions 56 to 766 of the family's 1533-position model. The record is from RNAcentral.